CCUCGUAUUUCACACUACGUAUCCGUUUUUUUUGUUGCUCGGUGGUUGGAGGGCGAUAUAAUUCAGUUUAGAGCCUCUGAGCAGAUUCAGUCUAUACAUACACAAGAGGGUCCUUUCUCUCUGUCUCUUUCUCUCAAUGCUUAUUUUA
This is a non-coding RNA of Caenorhabditis elegans, 148 nucleotides long. The record is from Ensembl. Lineage: Eukaryota; Metazoa; Nematoda; Chromadorea; Rhabditida; Rhabditidae.